This 410-nucleotide ribosomal RNA is filed under the name uncultured bacterium. Its description in RNAcentral is "bacterial SSU rRNA". It matches the Rfam family "Bacterial small subunit ribosomal RNA", at positions 355 to 794 of the family's 1533-position model. The record is from RNAcentral.
UCGAGAAUCUUCGGCAAUGAGCGCAAGCUUGACCGAGCGACGCCGCGUGCGGGAUGAAGGCCUUCGGGUUGUAAACCGCGAAAGUAGGGAGACCUAUCUUCAGUAAGGACGGGCUAAGUUCGUGCCAGCAGCCGCGGUAAUACGAACCGUCCAAACGUUAUUCGGAUUUAUUGGGCUUAAAGGGUAUGUAGGCGGCCCUUCAAGUCGGGUGUGAAAGCCCUCGGCUCAACCGAGGAACUGCGCCGAUACUGUAGGGCUUGAGGGAGACAGAGGUAAGCGGAACUGAUGGUGGAGCGGUGAAAUGCGUUGAUAUCAUCAGGAACACCAGUGGCGAAAGCGGCUUACUGGGUCUCUUCUGACGCUGAGAUACGAAAGCUAGGGGAGCGAACGGGAUUAGAUACCCCAGUAGU